This 76-nucleotide transfer RNA is filed under the name Gammaproteobacteria bacterium. RNAcentral describes it as "tRNA-His". It matches the Rfam family "tRNA". From Rfam's summary of the family: Transfer RNA (tRNA) molecules are approximately 80 nucleotides in length. Lineage: Bacteria; Pseudomonadati; Pseudomonadota; Gammaproteobacteria. The record is from RNAcentral.
GUGGGCGUAGCUCAGUUGGUAGAGCCCCGGAUUGUGAUUCCGGUGGUCGUGGGUUCGAGCCCCAUCGCUCGCCCCA